GCGGGCACAGUUGGAGCGCAGAUCCCUGAUUCGGAGGCCGCAGUGAGCGUGGCUCCACGCUCACAGGCGCGGAACCGGAUCGUACGGAUCAGAAGGUUUGGGGUUCGAAUCCCUACAGGCGCG
This 123-nucleotide transfer RNA is filed under the name Actinomycetota bacterium. RNAcentral describes it as "Actinobacteria bacterium tRNA-OTHER". The record is from RNAcentral. Lineage: Bacteria; Bacillati; Actinomycetota.